CCCCUUAUGUGUAGGGCUACACACGUGCUACAAUGGCUGGUACAGAGAGAUGCAAUACCGCGAGGUGGAGCCAAACUUAAAAACCAGUCUCAGUUCGGAUUGUAGGCUGAAACUCGCCUACAUGAAGCUGGAGUUACUAGUAAUCGCGAAUCAGAAUGUCGCGGUGAAUACGUUCCCGGGUCUUGUACACACCGCCCGUCACACCAUGAGAGUUGGCAAUACCCGAAGUCCGUGAGCUAACCGUAAGGAGGCAGCGGCCGAAGGUAGGGUCAGCGAUUGGGGUGAAGUCGUAACAAGGUAGCCGUAGGAGAACCUGCGGCUGGAUCACCUCCUUUCUAAGGAA
RNAcentral lists this ribosomal RNA (343 nucleotides) under Clostridium perfringens. RNAcentral describes it as "bacterial SSU rRNA". It matches the Rfam family "Bacterial small subunit ribosomal RNA", at positions 1198 to 1533 of the family's 1533-position model. The record is from RNAcentral. Lineage: Bacteria; Bacillati; Bacillota; Clostridia; Eubacteriales; Clostridiaceae.